Molecule: ribosomal RNA, 490 nt
Filed under: Escherichia coli
Lineage: Bacteria; Pseudomonadati; Pseudomonadota; Gammaproteobacteria; Enterobacterales; Enterobacteriaceae
Description: bacterial SSU rRNA
Rfam family: Bacterial small subunit ribosomal RNA
Source: RNAcentral
AAAUUGAAGAGUUUGAUCAUGGCUCAGAUUGAACGCUGGCGGCAGGCCUAACACAUGCAAGUCGAACGGUAACAGGAAGAAGCUUGCUUCUUUGCUGACGAGUGGCGGACGGGUGAGUAAUGUCUGGGAAACUGCCUGAUGGAGGGGGAUAACUGCUGGAAACGGUAGCUAAUACCGCAUAACGUCGCAAGACCAAAGAGGGGGAGCUUCGGGCCUCUUGCCAUCGGAUGUGCCCAGAUGGGAUUAGCUAGUAGGUGGGGUAACGGCUCACCUAGGCGACGAUCCCUAGCUGGUCUGAGAGGAUGACCAGCCACACUGGAACUGAGACACGGUCCAGACUCCUACGGGAGGCAGCAGUGGGGAAUAUUGCACAAUGGGCGCAAGCCUGAUGCAGCCAUGCCGCGUGUAUGAAGAAGGCCUUCGGGUUGUAAAGUACUUUCAGCGGGGAGGAAGGGAGUAAAGUUAAUACCUUUGCUCAUUGACGUUACCC